This 490-nucleotide ribosomal RNA is filed under the name uncultured bacterium. Its description in RNAcentral is "partial 16S ribosomal RNA". It matches the Rfam family "Bacterial small subunit ribosomal RNA", at positions 30 to 507 of the family's 1533-position model. The record is from RNAcentral.
AUUGAACGCUGGCGGUAGGCCUAACACAUGCAAGUCGAACGGUAACAGGAUGAAGCUUGCCUCUUUGCUGACGAGUGGCGGACGGGGGAGAAAUGUCUGGGAAACUGCAUGUUGGAGGGGGAUAACAACUGGAAACGGUAGCUAAUACCGCACAAUGUCGCAAGACCAAAGAGGGGGAACUUCGGGCCCCUUGCCAUCGGGAGUGACCAGAUGGGAUUAGCUAGUAGGUGGGGUAACGGCUCACCCAGGCGACGAUCCCUAGCUGGUCUGAGAGGAUGACCAGCCACACUGGAACUGAGACACGGUCCAGACUCCUACGGGAGGCAGCAGUGGGGAAUAUUGCACAAUGGGCGCAAGCCUGAUGCAGCUAUGCCGCGUGUAUGAAGAAGGCCUUCGGGUUGUAAAGUACUUUCAUCGGGGAGGAAAAGAAUAAAGUUAAUACCUUUGCUCAUUGACGUUACCCGCAGAAUAAGCACCGGCUAACUCCGUG